GACGAACGCUGGCGGCGCGCCUAACACAUGCAAGUCGAGCGAUGAAAUUUUAACCGAUCUCUUCGGAGAGAAGAUAAAAUGGAUUAGCGGCGGAGGGGUAAGUAACACUUAAAAACCCUCCCUUUCACAAGGGAAUAGCCUCGGGAAACCGGGAUUAAUACCCAAUAACACAUUUCCUUCGCAUGAAAGAAAUGUUAAAACUCCGGUGGUGAAAGAUGGUCUCGCGCCUGAUUAGCUAGUUGGUGGGGUAACGGCCAACCAAGGCCAUGAUCAGUAACCGGCCUGAGAGGGUGAACGGUCACAUUGGAACUGAGACACGGUCCAAACUCCUACGGGAGGCAGCAGUGGGGAAUAUUGCACAAUGGAGGAAACUCUGAUGCAGCGACGCCGCGUGAGCGAUGAAGGCUUUCGAGUCGUAAAGCUCUGUCCUAUGGGAAGAUAAUGACGGUACCAUAGGAGGAAGCCCCGGCUAACUACGUG
Molecule: ribosomal RNA, 480 nt
Filed under: uncultured bacterium
Lineage: Bacteria
Description: partial 16S ribosomal RNA
Rfam family: Bacterial small subunit ribosomal RNA
Source: RNAcentral